RNAcentral lists this ribosomal RNA (274 nucleotides) under uncultured bacterium. Its description in RNAcentral is "partial 16S ribosomal RNA". It matches the Rfam family "Bacterial small subunit ribosomal RNA", at positions 523 to 796 of the family's 1533-position model. The record is from RNAcentral.
AUACGGAGGGUGCAAGCGUUACUCGGAAUCACUGGGCGUAAAGCGCGCGCAGGCGGCCAUUUAAGUUGGAUGUGAAAGCCUACGGCUCAACCGUAGAACUGCAUCCAAAACUAUUUGGCUAGAGGGUGGGAGAGGAAGAUGGAAUUAGUUGUGUAGGGGUAAAAUCCGUAGAGAUAACUAGGAAUACCAAAAGCGAAGGCAAUCUUCUGGAACACUACUGACGCUGAGGCGCGAAAGCGUGGGGAGCAAACAGGAUUAGAAACCCCUGUAGUCC